AAAGAUAAGUGAAUUAUCAAAGCUGUUGCUCUACCCGAUCUCAAAAUCCAUUACAUUGCUGGCCGUCUAAUUAAAUACUUGUCCACAUACUUGACUUGGAUUCAGAUUCUUACACAUCCAGAGCUUCAGGUAAAAGCCGAAUGAAAAUAGACUCAUGUCUGAACAAUGAAAAACUAAAGCGAUUGGUAUGAGAAGGAGAAAAAAAGAAUUGAAAGAUCUGAGGAUGACUGCUGGGGUCUGUGCUGAGGACAA
Malaclemys terrapin pileata is the source of this 252-nucleotide long non-coding RNA. RefSeq lists it as uncharacterized. The record is from RefSeq and is a predicted model, not a curated record. The transcript is spliced from 3 exons. NCBI's taxonomy places the organism in Eukaryota, Metazoa, Chordata, Testudines, Emydidae.